Cyprinus carpio carpio is the source of this 312-nucleotide long non-coding RNA. Lineage: Eukaryota; Metazoa; Chordata; Actinopteri; Cypriniformes; Cyprinidae. The record is from Ensembl.
GGCUAUUAUCAACUCUGUAUGUUAGCUGCUUCACUUGCACUUUAGCCACUAUAACAUGAAAUGCACUAGAACUCUUUUCCCCCUUUUUGCUGUGUAAAUGAAACAGCGCGCGGUCCAGAAAUCCUUAAAAUCAACACAACUGCAUUGGAAAAUAAAAGACAGCGCAUGCGCAGCUACCGUUGGAGCCCGCACAUUUUCACAUUCUCCUGCUACUAAACAGGCUCCAUUAUGAAAACAAAGCCCUGAAAAGGUUAACAAACGCAACGUAAAGGCUGCAGGAGCUCAGAGUGGAUGUCUGCGGCAUCGUUGGAG